AUUGAACGCUGGCGGCAGGCUUAACACAUGCAAGUCGAGCGGGGGAAGGUAGCUUGCUACCGGACCUAGCGGCGGACGGGUGAGUAAUGCUUAGGAAUCUGCCUAUUAGUGGGGGACAACAUCUCGAAAGGGAUGCUAAUACCGCAUACGUCCUACGGGAGAAAGCAGGGGAUCUUCGGACCUUGCGCUAAUAGAUGAGCCUAAGUCGGAUUAGCUAGUUGGUGGGGUAAAGGCCUACCAAGGCGACGAUCUGUAGCGGGUCUGAGAGGAUGAUCCGCCACACUGGGACUGAUACACGGCCCGGACUCCUACGGGAGGCAGCAGUGGGGAAUAUUGGACAAUGGGGGGAACCCUGAUCCAGCCAUGCCGCGUGUGUGAAGAAGGCCUUAUGGUUGUAAAGCACUUUAAGCGAGGAGGAGGCUACUUUAGUUAAUACCUAGAGAUAGUGGACGUUACUCGCAGAAUAAGCACCGGCUAACUCUGUGCCAGCCGCCGCAGUAA
Molecule: ribosomal RNA, 501 nt
Filed under: uncultured bacterium
Lineage: Bacteria
Description: partial 16S ribosomal RNA
Rfam family: Bacterial small subunit ribosomal RNA
Source: RNAcentral